GAGUUUGAUCAUGGCUCAGAACGAACGCUGGCGGCGUGGAUAAGACAUGCAAGUCGAACGAGAUCCUUAGCAAAGCUUGCUUUGCUAAGUCUAGUGGCGAACGGGUGAGUAACACGUGAGCAACCUGCCCAGAAGCAGGGGAUAAGCCACCGAAAGGUGGUCUAAUACCGUAUGUGAUUUCAAAAGGCAUCUCUUGAUGAUUAAAGGGGGGGACCUUCGGGCCUCCCACUUCUGGAUGGGCUCGCGGCCUAUCAGCUAGUUGGUGAGGUAAUGGCUCACCAAGGCAACGACGGGUAACUGGUCUGAGAGGAUGAUCAGUCACACUGGAACUGAGACACGGUCCAGACACCUACGGGUGGCAGCAGUCGAGAAUCAUUCACAAUGGGCGAAAGCCUGAUGGUGCGACGCCGCGUGGAGGAUGACAGCCCUAGGGUUGUAAACUCCUGUCAUGAGAGAGUAAAGACUUAACGUUAAUAGCGUUGGGUCCUGAUAGUAUCUCAAGAGGAAGGGACGGCUAACUUCGUGCCAGCACCCGCGGUAAUACGAAGGUCCCAAGCGUUGUUCGGAAUUACUGGGCGUAAAGCGUGCGUAGGCGGAAUGGUAAGUCAGAUGUGAAAUCCCGGGGCUCAACCUCGGAACUGCAUCCGAUACUGCCAAUCUAGAGUAGUGGAGGGGAGUCUGGAAUUCACGGUGUAGCAGUGAAAUGCGUAGAUAUCGUGAGGAACACUAGUGGCGAAAGCGAGACUCUGGACACUAACUGACGCUGAGGCACGAAGGCUAGGGUAGCGAAAGGGAUUAGAUACCCCUGUAGUCCUAGCAGUAAACGGUGUGCGUUUGGUGUGGGCGGGUUCGACCCCGUCCGUGCCGAAGCUAACGCGUUAAACGCACCGCCUGGGGAGUACGGCCGCAAGGCUAAAACUCAAAGAAAUUGACGGGGACCCGCACAAGCGGUGGAUGAUGUGGAUUAAUUCGAUGCAACGCGAAAAACCUUACCUACCCUUGACAUGUUAGGAAUCUCUCAGAGAUGAGAGAGUGCUUGAAAGAGAAUCUAAACACAGGUGCUGCAUGGCUGUCGUCAGCUCGUGUCGUGAGAUGUUGGGUUAAGUCCCGCAACGAGCGCAACCCUUGUCAUUAGUUGCUACGAAAGGGCACUCUAAUGAGACUGCCGGUGACAAACCGGAGGAAGGUGGGGAUGACGUCAAGUCCUCAUGGCCCUUAUGGGUAGGGCUUCACACGUCAUACAAUGGUUGGUACAGAGGGUCGCUAACCCGCGAGGGGGAGCUAAUCCCUUAAAACCAAUCGUAGUCCGGAUUGAAGUCUGCAACUCGACUUCAUGAAGUCGGAAUCGCUAGUAAUCGCGGAUCAGAAUGCCGCGGUGAAUACGUUCCCGGGUCUUGUACACACCGCCCGUCACACCAUGGGAGCGGGUUUUACCAGAAGUAGCUAGCUUAACCGCAAGGAAAGCGGUUACCACGGUAGGAUUCGUGACUGGGGUGAAGUCGUAACAAGGUAACC
Molecule: ribosomal RNA, 1515 nt
Filed under: uncultured marine bacterium
Lineage: Bacteria
Description: partial 16S ribosomal RNA
Rfam family: Bacterial small subunit ribosomal RNA
Source: RNAcentral